Molecule: unclassified non-coding RNA, 226 nt
Filed under: uncultured Tricholomataceae
Lineage: Eukaryota; Fungi; Basidiomycota; Agaricomycetes; Agaricales; Tricholomataceae
Description: sequence contains ITS1
Source: RNAcentral
UUGAAUGAACGAAGGGUUGUCGCUGGCUCUUAGGAGCAUGUGCACACCUUUCACACUUCAUAUUAACCACCUGUGCACUUUUAGUAGACUAUGGUAACACUCAGUCUUCGGAUUGGAUUAGAGGAGGAUGCGUUUAGCUCUCCCUCAAUUCCAUAGUCUACGUUUUAUCUAUAUACUAUACUGUCCAGAAUGUUUGUUAUUAGGUCUUGCGCCUAUAAACUUUAUA